CAGCGGAAGUAGCUUGCUACUUUGCCGGCGAGCGGCGGACGGGUGAGUAAUGUCUGGGAAACUGCCUGAUGGAGGGGGAUAACUACUGGAAACGGUAGCUAAUACCGCAUAACGUCGCAAGACCAAAGAGGGGGACCUUCGGGCCUCUUGCCAUCAGAUGUGCCCAGAUGGGAUUAGCUAGUAGGUGGGGUAACGGCUCACCUAGGCGACGAUCCCUAGCUGGUCCGAGAGGAUGACCAGCCACACUGGAACUGAGACACGGUCCAGACUCCUACGGGAGGCAGCAGUGGGGAAUAUUGCACAAUGGGCGCAAGCCUGAUGCAGCCAUGCCGCGUGUAUGAAGAAGGCCUUCGGGUUGUAAAGUACUUUCAGCGGGGAGGAAGGCGUUGAGGUUAAUAACCUCAGCGAUUGACGUUACCCGCAGAAGAAGCACCGGCUAACUCCGUGCCAGCAGCCGCGGUAAUACGGAGGGUGCAAGCGUUAAUCGGAAUUACUGGGCAUAAAGCGCACGCAGGCGGUCUGUCAAGUCUGAUGUGAAAUCCCCGGGCUCAACCUGG
RNAcentral lists this ribosomal RNA (557 nucleotides) under Enterobacter cloacae. RNAcentral describes it as "bacterial SSU rRNA". It matches the Rfam family "Bacterial small subunit ribosomal RNA", at positions 67 to 617 of the family's 1533-position model. The record is from RNAcentral. Lineage: Bacteria; Pseudomonadati; Pseudomonadota; Gammaproteobacteria; Enterobacterales; Enterobacteriaceae.